GACGAACGCUGGCGGCGUGCUUAACACAUGCAAGUCGAACGGAAAGGCCCUUCUUUUGUGGGGUGCUCGAGUGGCGAACGGGUGAUUAACACGUGAGUAACCUGCCCUUGACUUUGGGAUAACUUCAGGAAACUGGGGCUAAUACCGGAUAGGAGCUCCUGCUGCAUGUUGGGGGUUGGAAAGUUUCGGCGGUUGGGGAUGGACUCGCGGCUUAUCAGCUUGUUGGUGGGGUAGUGGCUUACCAAGGCUUUGACGGGUAGCCGGCCUGAGAGGGUGACCGGCCAAAUUGGGACUGAGAUACGGCCCAGACUCCUACGGGAGGCAGCAGUGGGGAAUAUUGCACAAUGGGCGGAAGCCUGAUGCAGCAACGCCGCGUGCGGGAUGACGGCCUUCGGGUUGUAAACCGCUUUCGCCUGUGACGAAGCGUGAGUGACGGUAAUGGGUAAAGAAGCACCGGCUAACUACGUG
Molecule: ribosomal RNA, 468 nt
Filed under: uncultured bacterium
Lineage: Bacteria
Description: partial 16S ribosomal RNA
Rfam family: Bacterial small subunit ribosomal RNA
Source: RNAcentral